RNAcentral lists this ribosomal RNA (1052 nucleotides) under Mortierella microzygospora. RNAcentral's name for it is "LSU rRNA". It matches the Rfam family "Eukaryotic large subunit ribosomal RNA", at positions 44 to 959 of the family's 3401-position model. Lineage: Eukaryota; Fungi; Mortierellomycota; Mortierellomycetes; Mortierellales; Mortierellaceae. The record is from RNAcentral.
CAAUAAGCGAGAAAAGAAACUAACAAGGAUUCCCCUAGUAACGGCGAGUGAAGCGGGAUGAGCUCAAAUUUAAAAUCUGGCUGGUUUACUAGUCCGAAUUGUAGUUUAAAGAAGCGUUUUCGGCGGCAACCUGGGUAUAAAUCCUUUGGAAUAGGGUAUCAUAGAGGGUGAGAAUCCCGUCUUUGACUCAGUGUAUGUUGCUAUGUGAUACGUUUUCAAAGAGUCGAGUUGUUUGGGAAUGCAGCUCAAAAUGGGUGGUAAAUUUCAUCUAAAGCUAAAUAUUGGCGAGAGACCGAUAGCGAACAAGUACCGUGAGGGAAAGAUGAAAAGAACUUUGAAAAGAGAGUUAAACAGUGCGUGAAAUUGUUGAAAGGGAAACGCUUGACACCAGUCAUGCGGGUGAAAAAUCAGUCUUUUGCAGUGAGGAGUUUUGGUAGUUUAGACCGCAAGGCUAGCUGCUGGCGCAUCUUUGCUGUAAGUGAUGCACUUUUUCAUUUGCAGGUCAACAUCAGUUUCGUUUGCCGGACAAAACCCCGAGAGAAGGUAGCAGCUUAGGCUGUGUUAUAGCUCUGGGGCGAUACGGUGGAGGGGACUGAGGCUUCGCAGUGUGUGCUCUCGGGCAAGGUUGAUUGGGUGCUAUGGGAUCGUUCGGGGUACAAUACAUGUAUUUUGCUUCGUGUCUUUUUCAUACUCGCUCAACUCGACUCUUCCACACUUAGGAUGUUGACUUAAUGGUUUUAAUCGACCCGUCUUGAAACACGGACCAAGGAGUCUAACAUAUAUGCAAGUGUUUGGGUGGCAAACCCAUGCGCGUAAUGAAAGUGAACGUAGGUGCCAUCCGCAAGGUGCAGCAUCGACCGAUCUUGAUAUUUUUGGAUAGAUUUGAGUAAGAGCAUAUAUGCUGGGACCCGAAAGAUGGUGAACUAUGCCUGAAUAGGGUGAAGCCAGAGGAAACUCUGGUGGAGGCUCGUAGCGAUUCUGACGUGCAAAUCGAUCGUCAAAUUUGGGUAUAGGGGCGAAAGACUAAUCGAACCAUCUAGUAGCUGGUCUGC